AAAUUGAAGAGUUUGAUCAUGGCUCAGAUUGAACGCUGGCGGCAGGCCUAACACAUGCAAGUCGAGCGGUAGCACAGAGAGCUUGCUCUCGGGUGACGAGCGGCGGACGGGUGAGUAAUGUCUGGGAAACUGCCUGAUGGAGGGGGAUAACUACUGGAAACGGUAGCUAAUACCGCAUAAUGUCGCAAGACCAAAGUGGGGGACCUUCGGGCCUCAUGCCAUCAGAUGUGCCCAGAUGGGAUUAGCUAGUAGGUGGGGUAACGGCUCACCUAGGCGACGAUCCCUAGCUGGUCUGAGAGGAUGACCAGCCACACUGGAACUGAGACACGGUCCAGACUCCUACGGGAGGCAGCAGUGGGGAAUAUUGCACAAUGGGCGCAAGCCUGAUGCAGCCAUGCCGCGUGUGUGAAGAAGGCCUUCGGGUUGUAAAGCACUUUCAGCGGGGAGGAAGGCGUU
This 456-nucleotide ribosomal RNA is filed under the name Klebsiella pneumoniae. RNAcentral's name for it is "bacterial SSU rRNA". It matches the Rfam family "Bacterial small subunit ribosomal RNA", at positions 1 to 455 of the family's 1533-position model. The record is from RNAcentral. Lineage: Bacteria; Pseudomonadati; Pseudomonadota; Gammaproteobacteria; Enterobacterales; Enterobacteriaceae.